UUAGUGUUAUUUGUGAUGACUGGGCGUAGGGUACGUCGGCGAAUAAUUAAAAACACAGUAAAAGACUGAGGAAUAACCUCUUUAAUCUGCGUUCACUGAUUAUUUUGAGUGCAGAAGACGGUUUUAGAAUUCCUGAAGAAAGGGUAAAAUUGUUGAUAUAGGAAAACUUUCGAUGGCGAAAGCAUUUACCGAUUCUGUUCUGACGCUAGGUACUAAAGCUUGGGGAGAAAGAGGAUUAGAGACCUCGUAGUCCUUGCCUUAAACAAUGAGUGUUCAACGUCUUAGAAUACUCGGAUCACAUAAUGAUGCGUCUG
This 314-nucleotide ribosomal RNA is filed under the name Fuligo septica var. flava. Its description in RNAcentral is "SSU rRNA". It matches the Rfam family "Bacterial small subunit ribosomal RNA", at positions 535 to 849 of the family's 1533-position model. Lineage: Eukaryota; Evosea; Eumycetozoa; Physariida; Physaraceae. The record is from RNAcentral.